UUCCUGCUAUUUCCAGCAAAGCGGGAGAAGAGCCGCUGAGUGGGGAGGAGAGAGACAGAGAGCCUGCUUGCUUUAAAGGACCCAACCUCUCCCCUCCCGCUUUGCUCCUUUAAAGAAGCAGGCACUCUGUCCCUCUCUCCUCCCCAUUCAGCGGCUCUUCUCCCGCUGGAAACCACGGAGGA
RNAcentral lists this microRNA precursor (182 nucleotides) under Podarcis lilfordi (Lilford's wall lizard). The record is from RNAcentral. Lineage: Eukaryota; Metazoa; Chordata; Lepidosauria; Squamata; Lacertidae.